AAAAACUGUUUUAAGUUGUAUAAAUUGUGUUUAUUAAUCUCUAGAUGCCAAUUUAGGUUGGUCAGUAAUAGUAGUUCAAUUAACGUGUAUCCUGGUGAUUUACUCAAACUCUGUUUGGAGGUGUGAAGUGAAAUGUUUUUGUCCUAUUUGUUUCAGAUUGAACAGGAUUUUAUGUUGCUAUUUGGAGAGGGAACAUCAGACAAGUUUUUGGAGAGGUGGCCAACUACAUUCAAGCAAAAGAUCGUCAUGCUAAGCAAGACCCUAAGCAAGACCACUCAGAGAGCUGAACUUCAGGAGCUGAUCCAGAUGGCAGAAUCUGCAGUUGAUGAGGGAGCUGACACGAAUACCGACAGAUGGGACGGUGGCCUUUCCUUCAUCCUUCUCCUGCUCCAUUUCAUUCCUCCUUCAUCACAAGGCCACAAAAGACCAGGCCAGAUGUCUGCAUGCCAAGCUGAACAGCAUCUUGUGAUAUUCCAAAAGGCAGGAACCAGUAUUCAGGAGCACCUUGAUGCGAUUGACCGGAGCCGCCAACCAUAUGUUCUUGCAGUCGGGACCAGGAAGAGCAGCAUCCAUGUUUACGUCAUCAUCCUGGACAAGCGAGCCUUACUUCAUCAUCCUGGACAAGCGAGCCUUACUUCAUCAUCCUGGACAAGCGAGCCUUACUUCAUCAUCCUGGACAAGCGAGCCUUACUUCAUCAUCCUGGACAAGCGAGCCUUACUUCAUCAUCCUGGACAAGCGAGCCUUACUUCAUCAUCCUGGACAAGCGAGCCUUACUUCAUCAUCCUGGACAAGCGAGCCUUACUUCAUCAUCCUGAACAAGCGAGCCUUACUUCAUCAUCCUGGACAAGCGAGCCUUACUUCAUCAUCCUGAACAAGCGAGCCUUACUUCAUCAUCCUGGACACGCGAGCCUUGCUUCAUCAUCCUGGACAAGCGAGCCUUACUUCAUCAUCCUGGACCAAGCGAGCCUUACUUCAUCAUCCUGGACCAAGCGAGCCUUACUUCAUCAUCCUGGACAAGCGAGCCUUACUUCAUCAUCCUGGACCAAGCGAGCCUUACUUCAUCAUCCUGGACCAAGCGAGCCUUAGCGUGCAAGUCAACGAGCGCUCGUGGUGCCUUCGAUGAGCUUUUCAAGACUCACUUUGUUUUUGGUAUUGCUUACAAUACAAUGCUGUGCAACAUGUACACCUUCAUACAGACAACUGUGUACAACAUAGACAUUGGGAAGGUUAAGGAGACUCCAAGGGUUGUUGAGCUCAGAGCUAGACUCCUGCACUGAUGCUGAUAUAAGUUAUGAUGAUAUGUUUUGUUUGCCAUGCUAGUCAUGGAAGUACCAACUUGCUCGUAAGGCAUCUCAAGUUGAUGCAUGGAAUGUACCCUGGUAGAACUCCUGGAAUGUGGUCAAGCAGAUUGUUGUUGUGUAUUUAGUACAUUUUCAGGCAGCAUUUGAACAGGGCACAUUCCGGAGACUGUCCAAAUUCUGUUAAAUGCUAACUUGAAUGCUAACACAGCCGUUGAUAAUCAGCCAAAUAAUGCUGAUUUUCCUUCUAGUUCUAGUUGUAACCAUGUUGUACCAGUGUCUAACAAGAACACACUUGAUAUGUGUGCGUCUGCUAUUGCACAUGUAACAGUAUAGCUUUAUGGCGUCCCCUCACCCCGACUCGGGCGCGAACCAGGGACCCUCUGCACACAUCAACAACGGUCGCCCACGAAGCAUCGUUACCCAUCGCUCCACAAAGGCCGCGGCCCUUGCAGAGCAAGGGGAACCACCACUUCUAGGUUUCAGAGCAAGUGACGUAACCAACUGAAAGGCUGCUAGCGCGCACCACCGCUAACUAGCUAGCCAUUUCACAUCCGUUACACACAACUGCAGGCUGCAAGUGUAUGUCAGACGACUGUAAAUAGUUUUGUAUCUUCCAUGGAAGAAGCAGUUCAAGAGAUACAGGGUCAAGCUGAAGCGACCGCUCUUACAUGUAUAUCUUCAAAAUACACAGAAACGGUCAGAAAAAUCCAACAUUCUUUUCAGGAUAUCGAAAAUCCUUUCACAUCGUUCAAAUCCUUUUCACAUCAAAACGAAGUGCUUAUUUCAUAAAAAAAUGGGGAACCGUUCAACCAGUUGAGAAAAUCCUUGGUGUUAGAUUUGACAAUAGAAGACUACUGGAACCUAUGAUCAAAUAGUCAUAGCUGAUCCAUUUUCAUACGUUCCAAUUCUCCAGACAUUUUGAAGAACCCAAACACAAGUCACAUGUUUAACUCGGGGCAUCGUUUUAAAGAUGGAGUUUACUUUGAUUUGGAAGAUGGACUAUACAUGAAGAGACAUCCUUUUGCAUUGCAAAUUCAACUCUUUUAUGAUGACUUUGAGACUGUUAAUUCAUUGGGAUCAAAAAAGGCUAUUCACAAGUUGGGAGGUGUAUACUUCACUUUGAGAUUUUACCCCAACGUUUAAUUCAAUUUUGGUAAAUAAUAACUUAUGUGCACUUUUCCAUACCCAGGACCUUAACUUAUGGAUUUGAUUCCAUUCUUGAGCCAAUAGUAAGUGAUUUGAAAGUGCUUGAGACUGAGGGUAGUGAAGUUCCCUUCUUCAGUGGUCGUAUACAUGGCAGCAUUGUCCAAGUCACUGGAGAUAAUCUUGCUAUACAUUGCCUGUUUGGUUUUGUGGAAUCAUUUAGUGGUUUUUAUUGUUGCCAUUUUUGCCUCACUGAGAAAGUGGAUUUUCAAACUGUGUUCUCUGAGGAUGACCCAAGAGCGACUUUACGAACAAACACAUGCAAUCAGACCAUUGUUAAACUAUUUAGUCAAACCCAACACCACCUCAUGUGUACGGUGUGAAGCAUGCUUGCUUAUUGAACUCUCUGCAGUACUUCAAUAGUACAGACCAUUUGUCUGUUGAUAUAAUGCAUGACGUUUUAGAAGGAGUUGCACAAUUUCAGGUAACUUGUGUUACAGUAUAUAGAAGGGAACUUUGUGACUCCUAAAGAUGUGUAGAGUUCAUGUCACUAUAGCUACACAGAGAGGAGGAAUCGUCCAGCUGUACUCAAAAUGGAUGAUGGGACCAAUGAUUUGGGACUAAAUGUUACUCAGCCUUGGUGUCUUCGUAAUUUGCCAUUGAUAUUUGGUGAUCUGUAACAGAAAGAUGAUAAAUACUGGCAGCUUCUUCUGUUACCACUAUAAAUUGUAAAUAUUGUGUUUUCUCCUAUACUGAAACACUUAAUUGCUGAACAUCCUAGGCUUUUCAAGUAUUUGUCUCCUGAUAGAAAUCUGUUACCGAAACCCCACUUCAUGAUACAGUAUCCUCGUUGUAUAAGGAAUAUUGGGCCCAUUCUUCACUCGUGGUGUAUGCGCUACGAGGCAAAACAUCAUUUAUUCAAAAAAGCAACCGAAGAGUUUUUAGAAUGUCACUAUGACCUUAGUCAAGAAACACAAAAAAAAUGACAUGGCAUAUAAUUGGGAAACGUUCAGCCAGGAUAGACUAGCUAUAGGUCCAGGAAAGAUGUCAAGGCUCAAUGAGCUGACAGAAAGCCAUGAGAUUGCUGCCAAGUUGAAUGUCUCCGUGCACACAAACAUUUUGUCAGUUAAAUGGCUAAAGCACCACGGUAUAGAAAUAUCGUCUUGAUUUGGUCAUAUAUGGUGAAGUAGUCAUUAAAAUGGCAGUAUUUUACAAAAUGAAGGCUUAUUGUUCUGAAAGAGGAAAAUGUUUUUUGGGGGUCGGGUCAGCUCUUGAAACCUUAUGUUUUGAUGAUCAUUUGCAUGCAUUUAAAGUUGUUUUGAAGAAAAGUCCCCCAUACAAAGUAUUUCAUGUAAAUGACAUCAUGUACCACAAACGUUUUGAUUUGCUCAUGUCAUCUGGAGCAAGGGAUUUUUUGGACUACAUUGUCCCCUACUCUUACUUGAUAACAGUUUAAGCCAGGGCUGAGACUUAUGGUUAGGUUGUGAGAAACACAUUUGAAUGCUGAAACAGCUUUGCUUGAGUUUAUUGUGAAAUUCCAAGUGCUUUUACAAAAUAUAAUUCCUAUUUACAUGGGGGAAGAGUAAAUAAAUGAACACUGAAUAGAGUAAACACAUUUUACUCUAAUAGCAGUCACCCUAGAUCAACACUAGUGAGUGUCACUAUAACACUCAACGUGUUGAUUACCUCUUAGUGUUACAUUUUAUCAACACCGGCCAGUGUGGUGCAGUGUUAACUUUUUGCACUCCUCAGUGUUAAAUCAACACUAGAAAUGUAACACUUGGAUCAGUGUACUUUUUACUCUGUAUAGAGUGGGACCAUAUGUACUCGCUGACAGUGAUAAAUGUAACACUUAAAAGUGUUGAUUUAACACUUUAAAAUUUACUGUGUAUGAAUACUGAUGACACCUAGCGCAUUACUUUUAAUCAUUUUGUUUUAAACCUUCCCCAAACCAUAACCUUUCAGUCCGUAACCACGCAGAAUAAAUGCGUAAAAAAUAGACGUUCAUCCAUAAUACAUCGAAUUUCGAAGGAAAACUAUGAGAUCUUGUUGGUGUGGGAGUGACUGUUUGUCUGCUGCUGUGUGCUCAGACAUUGCAUGCCGUGUGUGUGUGUGUGUGUG
This is a long non-coding RNA of Salvelinus fontinalis (brook trout), 4566 nucleotides long. RefSeq lists it as uncharacterized. The transcript has 3 exons. NCBI's taxonomy places the organism in Eukaryota, Metazoa, Chordata, Actinopteri, Salmoniformes, Salmonidae. The record is from RefSeq and is a predicted model, not a curated record.